RNAcentral lists this signal recognition particle RNA (99 nucleotides) under Lachnospiraceae bacterium. Its description in RNAcentral is "signal recognition particle sRNA small type". It matches the Rfam family "Bacterial small signal recognition particle RNA". Rfam says of the family: The signal recognition particle (SRP) is a universally conserved ribonucleoprotein involved in the co-translational targeting of proteins to membranes. Archaeal SRP consists of a 7S RNA and homologues of the eukaryotic SRP19 and SRP54 proteins. The record is from RNAcentral. Lineage: Bacteria; Bacillati; Bacillota; Clostridia; Lachnospirales; Lachnospiraceae.
CUUCCGGUCCUACGCAAUGAGCGCCUUUGAACCGUGUCAGAUCAGGAAUGAAGCAGCACUAAAAGGGAUUGCACAUGUGCCGUAGGGAACCCGGUGGUA